This 1097-nucleotide ribosomal RNA is filed under the name uncultured bacterium. Its description in RNAcentral is "bacterial SSU rRNA". It matches the Rfam family "Bacterial small subunit ribosomal RNA", at positions 1 to 1098 of the family's 1533-position model. The record is from RNAcentral.
UUAGAGUUUGAUCCUGGCUCAGGAUGAACGCUAGCGGCAGGCUUAACACAUGCAAGUCGAGGGGCAGCAUAAUGGAUAGCAAUAUCUAUGGUGGCGACCGGCGCACGGGUGCGUAACGCGUAUGCAACCUACCUUUAACAGGGGGAUAACACUGAGAAAUUGGUACUAAUACCCCAUAAUAUCAUAGAAGGCAUCUUUUAUGGUUGAAAAUUCCGAUGGUUAGAGAUGGGCAUGCGUUGUAUUAGCUAGUUGGUGGGGUAACGGCUCACCAAGGCGACGAUACAUAGGGGGACUGAGAGGUUAACCCCCCACACUGGUACUGAGACACGGACCAGACUCCUACGGGAGGCAGCAGUGAGGAAUAUUGGUCAAUGGACGCAAGUCUGAACCAGCCAUGCCGCGUGCAGGAUGACGGCUCUAUGAGUUGUAAACUGCUUUUGUACGAGGGUAAACGCAGAUACGUGUAUCUGUCUGAAAGUAUCGUACGAAUAAGGAUCGGCUAACUCCGUGCCAGCAGCCGCGGUAAUACGGAGGAUUCAAGCGUUAUCCGGAUUUAUUGGGUUUAAGGGGUGCGUAGGCGGUUUGAUAAGUUAGAGGUGAAAUUUCGGGGCUCAACCCUGAACGUGCCUCUAAUACUGUUGAGCUAGAGAGUAGUUGCGGUAGGCGGAAUGUAUGGUGUAGCGGUGAAAUGCUUAGAGAUCAUACAGAACACCGAUUGCGAAGGCAGCUUACCAAACUAUAUCUGACGUUGAGGCACGAAAGCGUGGGGAGCAAACAGGAUUAGAUACCCUGGUAGUCCACGCAGUAAACGAUGAUAACUCGUUUUGGGGGAUACACAGUGGGUGACUAGGGGAAAGCGAAAAGUUAUCCACUGGGGGAGUACGUUGGCAAGAAUGAAAUUCAAAGGAAUUGACGGGGGCCCGCCCAAGCGGAGGAACAUGUGGUUUAAUUCGAUGAUACGCGAGGAACCUUACCCGGGGCUUGAAAGUUAGCGACGAUUCUUGAAAGAGGAUUUCCUUUCGGGGCGCGAAACUAGGUGCUGCAUGGUUGUCGUCAGCUCGUGCCGUGAGGUGUCGGGUUAAGUCCCAUAACGAGCG